UCUGUGACCUAUGACACAGCUGUGGCAAAGCCAGAUCCCUAAUCCACUCUACUCAGGCCUGGGAUGGAACCAGUAAGGCCACAGAGACAAGCCAGAUCACUAAAUCACUGCAUCAUAGUGGGAACUCUGUGUUUUAGUUCUCUAAUUAUUCUACCUUGAAUAUAUAUGGCUCUGGUUUUAAAUAUAUGCUGAAUCUCUGUGGUUUCAGAGAAAACCAGAGGCCUGAAAGCCUUAUAAUGAUAAAAUUGUACCUGAAUUAACUAUCACAAUUGAAUUUAAAAUUAGAAAACAUAAAAUAAGAAAAAGCUGAUAUCCGGGGUCAGAAACUCUUCCCCUAUUGUGAGCUGCACAGCUCAAACCCUCUGAUAACAGUCCACAGGUUCACAGGCAACUUUCACCUCACCUUCUACCUCCAGAUUCAACUCCACAAUCAAAACCUCCUAGGCUAAGUCACAAUACUCUUAGUUUUAUUUGAAUACGUAGUGGUGGAACCAAUAUAUUCUAAUAGUAUUCACUAUAAAUAAAUAUUCACUAUAUAACAUGGAUUUAACUACAUCCACCACUCUCCCCUGCCCCUUCUAGGUUACUUAAAGACUUCAUGGGUAUAAAUUCUCAUAUUAUGAUUAGAAAGGUUUUCACGCCUUCUCUUUUUAUUUCCUUCCUUCCUGCUUUUAAUAUACAUAACUAUUGUUUCCCUAUUUAUUUUGAUAUAUUCCCUUCAAAUACUAAUGCAUAAUAAACAUUAACUAAAAGCUUUUGAAUUAAUAGACAGUUUUUAUCAUUGCAACUCAGUCACUUAACUAGAAUCCUAAGAAAUAUCAGUUUCUUCAUCUCAAUAAAAAUGGGAGUGAUUAUGGUAUUUAUACCAAUAUCAUCAUCAUUAUCAUUUCUUAAACCUCUACUAUGUAAUUAUUUGAAAAGUAUUGUAAUGUCCUAAAAUGUUGGCCCCUUAUGUAUUUUAAGUCAAUUAAAUUUUUCAAAAGCAUACAUAGAACACCUUUAGGUGGUACCUUAAAGAUAAAUAAAAUGCUUUUUAAAGAUUUCUACAAAUAAAUUGGAAUUUUAAUAAAUACAAAUUAAAUUACAAAUAAAUUUUGCAAUCCCAUGCAACUUUAAGCACUAUAUGCAAACUGAUAUUCAACAAUGUUUCUAGAUAGUGGUCAGUGAAUAAUAUCACAUUUUCCAAAGUGCAUUUUCACCUGCCUCUCUCACUUUUCAGAAUUAAUUCAACCUUCUAAAGACUGAAAUAUGGAUACUUAGAGAUUCCAUACUGUAUAUCUUUUAAAUAUUUAGUGACAAAUCAUAUUUUAAUGUUUAAUUUUUCAAACCAUAUCUCCAAUAACUUGGGAUGCAUGUUUUUCAUGUUUCAUAGUAAAAGCAAACAUGAAUUGAGGACCAUUUAUGGCCCAAGCAUUAUAGUAUAUGUGUUCCAGAUAAUAACUUAUUAAAUUCUCACAAUUCUAUGAGAAAGGUAGUAUCAUUAGCUUCAUUUUACAGAACAGGAAACUGAAGCAUGGAGAGGUUAAAUACUUGCCCAGAAUUACAUAAUUGUAGGUCUUGGAUUCACACCCAGUCAGUCAAAUUGCAGAGCUUAUAUUUUUAAUUAAGCUUCUGAACAAUGCAUAAGUUAAAGUAAAAAGUGAUCACUGACUUAUAUAGCUUAGAUAGUAACUUAGUUUAAUUUUUCAAAUGCAUGGCCAGUUUGUGAGCUGGGUACCUUACCUUUUAUGAGUUCACUUUUAAAAAUAUAUAUAUUUUUAAUUUAAUUUAAAAAAUUGCUAUGGCUGCACCCAUGGCAUAUGGAAGUUGCUUGUCAGGGAUUGGACCCAAUCCAGAGUCAUGACCUACACCACAGCUACAGCAACACAAUCCUUUAACAUGCUGUGCCUGGCUGAGGGUCAAACUCAUGCCCCCAUAAUGAUCCAAGAUGCUACAAUUGCUGCAGAAUCUUAACUCACUGCACCACAGCAGGAACUCAUUUUUAAAUUUUAGACAAAUAUUUGAUGGAUUGAAUUUUGAUGACUCUUAAAAUAUAAUGAAGCGAGCCCAUCAAAAGCUUUAAGGAGAAAGCUGCAGAGUGAAUAGAUUGGCUUUCCUUCUUCAUAAAAAAACAAUGCCUCUCUCUUACCCAUUCAGUAAAAUGAGCUCGCAAUGAAGCCUAUUGAGUAACAGAAUGAAACAAGUGAUAAAAGGAAAAAUCCCAGGGUUGAGCUUCCAGUAGAGAAUAACCAAGAGCUGGAAAAGUUUGCAUCUUUCUAGUUCAUAAAAUCCACACAACCAUGCUACAUGAUAAAAUGUCAUUUAGGCUUCAAUUGACUGUGGGCUCUCAAAAGACACAGGCCCAGACUGAGAAAAAGGGAUAUGCAGGAGAAAUAAUUCUAGACUUAUUCAAAAAAUUGAAGAUACAGCUAUAAUAGUUUUCCAAGGAAAUAUGACGGAGUAUUGAUCAAAGGGCAGGCUUUCCUGGAUCAACUUAAUUUACUGUUUUAUUUCCCAUAUCAGAAUUUUAAUGUUUCCCCCAAUAUUACUGAAAUGAAAUAGUAUGCUAGUUGAACUGAAUAGUCUUCCUAUUACACUUUAUGACAUGGCAUCUCAUGUUUAAACUGAUGGAGAAGGAAAAUGAAUAAGUAAAAUAAAUAAGUAACAAGGUUUUACAUCUAGAGAGGUACUUUUUCCUUCUAGUUUUAUUGAGAUACAUUUGAUAUAUAGCAUUGUAUAAGUUUAAGGUGUACAGCAUAAUGAUUUGACUUACAUCAUGAAAUGAUUACCAUCAUAAGUUGAGUGAACAUCCAUCAUUUCAUAUACAUACAAAAUAAAAGAAAAAUAUUUUCCCUUGGGAAGAGCACUUUUAGGAUUUACUCUAUUAACAACUUUCAUAUAUGACAUAGAGCAGAGUUAAUUAUUAUAUUUAAGCUACUAAAUAUGAUACCUGUGUAAUCGCUACUCUUGUUAUAUGAAACUUGAAUGAGUAAAUUUUCUUGUUAUCACAUGGUAAUACCUAACUCUCUGUAUUAGAUCAAAAAAGCAUUCAUUAGGGGAAAUUACCUACUUAUUCAUUUCUUUUGUAUGUCUGCAUAGGGGCUUGCAGAGUAUUGGGUGCCUGAUAAAUAGUUGUAAAUUGAUAAGCAGUGAAAAGUUUAGAAAUAGGCAACUUUGUAACUAAAGGCUAAGAAGUAUACAUAUUCAUUACUUUGCUUUUGAAUGCAAUCUAAAUGUAGAAUAUCAUUUACACUAAUAAACUUUCAAACAUUCUUCAUGGGAACCCCUGCUGUGGUAAUCAAGAAAGGCAACAUUUAGAAAAAAAAUUAAAGAUCUAGGUAUACUGACUCUGGUGUAAACUUUAUCCCUUGGGAUUUCUUCUGUCAUUUAAUCUAAUUGCACCCAGUAGUCUUAUGAUCAUAUUAAAACUUCUUCUAAUGAAGAGAGGAAAGUAAUCUACAUCUUACUAUUUCUCAAAAAAUAGGAAUGAAAAAUAGAUUAAGCCAAGUUAAACUAUCACUAAGAUAUCUGAGCAAGGUAAAAUUACCUUUUUCAUUUAACACGCCCCCCGUCAUUACAUACAUUUUGAAUGGUUAUAGCUUUCAGAUUUUCACUUAAUUUACAUUUGUCUACAUGAAAAAGAACAUUUGAUAUAUUAAAAAAAAAUUUACCAACCAUGGCUUUACUUUGAAUCAGUGUUCUUUACAUUUUCUAAAUGUGCUAAAAAAAACUAUUAAGAGGUUUUUCAACAAAACAAGACUGAAAUCAACUGCUAUUUAAAGAAGAAAAAUGACAUCAUUCAUUUUUCAUUCAUUUUAUUUAUAUAUUUCUUAUUGCCAAAAGGAGUACAAAGGGAUUUAAAAUGCUAGUACCAAGAUCUAAGAUCUGAUUACAGUGACCUCUCUCAAAAGCUGGAGUUAAAAAAGUGAUUUGUCCAAAUCACAGGAAGAGGAAAAUUUCCAUCAUAGGAUCCUAAGUAUCCUAAAUGGAUCAAUUUAUUUUUACUAGGCUACAAUAAAUGAGUCACAAAAAUACAAUGCAUUGAGCUGGAACAAGGGUAUAAACCUUGUGAAGAGUUUCUAAAAAAUUUUACGUAUCAAUCUAGCAGUAUUGAGAGAUAUGACAAAACUGUUAGGCCAUUUAAUGCUGAAUGAAAUAUUGGAUUUCUUUACAAAUCAGAUUUAUAUUAAAUGUGUGAUAGUGAAGAAGGUAUAACAGUAAAGUGGCUAAGAUUUAUUUGAAACACUGAACUAUUCACAUUUUUAAGUGUCUUUCUUCCAAAAUCAUUUCCAAUAUUAAAUCAAAAUAAGGGCACAAAGAUUAUUAAUUAUUUUCUGAAUUUAGAAAAUUUACAUUCUUUAAGUUUAUUUUUUCCUUAUGCUUAGGAAGAUUUUCUCGGUAAUAAUAAAUUUACUGCUCUGUUUUUUACAACUUAUACUUCAUCCUCACCACAGAGAAAAGAAGUAUAUGUGAUAUCUACCUAGCAAUAGACCUAAGUUAUUAUAAAUUAUAAGCCAUAAGUAAGAAUAUCAUUUAUCAUUUUAUUAGCUCCAUUACAAAAAAAUUUUGCACUAGGGAAAUAUACAUUCAAAAUAACUUAAAAUACAGGAGUUCCCGUUGUGGACAUGGCAGGAGUUCCCAUUGUGGCUCAGUGGGCUAAGAACCCUACACAGUGUCUUACGAGGCCAGCAGCUCUAAUUCCUAGCCCAGAAACCUCCAUGUGCCACAGGUGCAGCCGUAAAAAGAAAACAUAAAUAUAAUGUUCACAUAGCAGAAUACUUUCUCUGACUGGACUUUUUGCAGACGAUGGAGGAGAGACAUAGAAUUUUACCCAUUUAUAUAUUCAUUCAUUUAUUUUUAUUGAUAGCAUGAAUUGAACAUCCAUAUGAUCCUAGAAAUAGUACGUCACAAGGAUGCAAUGAUAUAUCCUCUAAGAGUCAAAUGGAAAGCAAAAUUUGAAGGGCAAGAAAUUUACUGGGAGAAAAGCACCAGGAAAAGAUGAAUGAGAAAGGACACAGAAGGCAGGGAAAAUUUUCAGUGUAUGAUGUAGGUGUGAUACCUGUGAAAGAAGAAAUAUAAAAGUAAGGAAACUGAAGAAAAGAAGAAUCAGAAGGCAGUGAGGCUCUGAAAACAAAACCAAAACAUCUCAGGACUGAUAGACUCAGAACAAGACUGUCCAAUAGAGGAACACUGCUCAGGCAGGAAUGAGCUGGCUCUGGUACACACUGCCAUGAGUCACUGGUAAGGCGAAGCCUAGGGAGAA
RNAcentral lists this long non-coding RNA (5242 nucleotides) under Sus scrofa (pig). Its description in RNAcentral is "lncRNA (ENSSSCG00000055565.1)". Lineage: Eukaryota; Metazoa; Chordata; Mammalia; Artiodactyla; Suidae. The record is from RNAcentral.